ACACCUCAACUCUCAUGGUUUGCCAUGAUGAGCUUGGACUUUGGGGGUCUUGCUGGCCUUAUGGUCGGCUCCUCUUAAAUUGAUCAGCUUGCCAGUGUUUGGUGGCAUCACAGGUGUGAUAACUAUCUAUGCUUGUGGUUUUCCAUCAGGUAACCUUCAGUGAUGGAGGUUCGCUGGGGCUCAUAAGGGUCUCUCCUCAGCGAGGACAGCUUUUUGAAC
This 219-nucleotide unclassified non-coding RNA is filed under the name uncultured Thelephoraceae. RNAcentral describes it as "sequence contains ITS2". The record is from RNAcentral. Lineage: Eukaryota; Fungi; Basidiomycota; Agaricomycetes; Thelephorales; Thelephoraceae.